AAAGAACCUAAGGCGC
RNAcentral lists this ribosomal RNA (16 nucleotides) under Candidatus Phytoplasma convolvuli. Its description in RNAcentral is "partial 23S ribosomal RNA". Lineage: Bacteria; Bacillati; Mycoplasmatota; Mollicutes; Acholeplasmatales; Acholeplasmataceae. The record is from RNAcentral.